Molecule: non-coding RNA, 107 nt
Organism: Helianthus annuus (common sunflower)
Lineage: Eukaryota; Viridiplantae; Streptophyta; Magnoliopsida; Asterales; Asteraceae
Source: Rfam
AUUCCAUGGUGAGGACAAUUUUUAAUCAUCAUAUUAAAUCGCUCGAAAGCUUCAUGAAACAUCUCGCCUUGUUGUUGUUGAAAACUCCUCAAUCCCUUUCUUGCAUC